This 30-nucleotide non-coding RNA is filed under the name Rattus norvegicus (Norway rat). The record is from RNAcentral. Lineage: Eukaryota; Metazoa; Chordata; Mammalia; Rodentia; Muridae.
UACCCAUAAAGUAUAGGAAAACGCCCAAAG